GACGAACGCUGGCGGCGUGCUUAACACAUGCAAGUCGAACGGGAACCUUUAUUUCGGUAAAGGUGAGAGUGGCAAACGGGUGAGUAACACGUAGGCAACCUGCCGACAGGAUGGGGACAACAUUCCGAAAGGAAUGCUAAUACCGAAUGGAGUCCGGAGAUGGCAUCAUCUCCGGAUAAAAGAUGGCCUCUGAAUAUGCUAUCGCCUGUCGAUGGGCCUGCGUCUGAUUAGCCAGUUGGCGGGGUAACGGCCCACCAAAGCGACGAUCAGUAGCCGGUCUGAGAGGAUGAACGGCCACAUUGGGACUGAGACACGGCCCAGACUCCUACGGGAGGCAGCAGUGGGGAAUCUUCCACAAUGGGCGAAAGCCUGAUGGAGCAACGCCGCGUGAGUGAAGAAGGUCUUCGGAUCGUAAAGCUCUGUUGCACGGGACGAAAACCGAGCUUGAGAAUAUU
RNAcentral lists this ribosomal RNA (455 nucleotides) under Selenomonas sputigena. Its description in RNAcentral is "bacterial SSU rRNA". It matches the Rfam family "Bacterial small subunit ribosomal RNA", at positions 28 to 465 of the family's 1533-position model. The record is from RNAcentral. Lineage: Bacteria; Bacillati; Bacillota; Negativicutes; Selenomonadales; Selenomonadaceae.